UGUUCUUCCGCUCUCAGGCACUAGCUUAGCUUAGCAUAAAGACUGGAAACAGGGGGAAACAUCUAGCUUAGCUUAGCAUAAAGACUGGAAACAGCUAGCCUGACUCCGUCCAAAGGUAAACCUACCAGACAUGAGUGGUGAUGAUCUUUUUAUCCAAAAUGUCCAGAUAGAAAAUAAAAGUGUAUAUUUUGUCUGACCUUUUUGUGAUACAAGAGGAGAAUGCAACUGUAAUAACACUUCAUAAUAACUAUUAAUAAUUCAUAUAGUCCACUGGUUUAAUGAACUGGUUACUUUUUAUUCUUAAAACUGAUGUGUUGUGUUCUUUAUUCAUCUGAUUUCCUUUACUAUAUAAUCAACUAAGCAUUCAAAAAUAAAAGACAUAUUGUCACAAAAACAGUGUCUGGUCCUGAUCUCUAAAAGUGCG
Molecule: long non-coding RNA, 424 nt
Organism: Sander lucioperca (pikeperch)
Lineage: Eukaryota; Metazoa; Chordata; Actinopteri; Perciformes; Percidae
Exons: 4
Source: RefSeq, a predicted model, not a curated record